UACGUAGGGUGCGAGCGUUAAUCGGAAUUACUGGGCGUAAAGCGUGCGCAGGCGGCUUUGCAAGACAGAUGUGAAAUCCCCGGGCUCAACCUGGGAACUGCAUUUGUGACUGCAAGGCUAAAGUACGGCAGAGGGGGAUGGAAUUCCGCGUGUAGCAGUGAAAUGCGUAGAUAUGCGGAGGAACACCAAUGGCGAAGGCAAUCCCCUGGGCCUGUACUGACGCUCAUGCACGAAAGCGUGGGGAGCAAACAGG
RNAcentral lists this ribosomal RNA (253 nucleotides) under uncultured bacterium. RNAcentral describes it as "partial 16S ribosomal RNA". It matches the Rfam family "Bacterial small subunit ribosomal RNA", at positions 524 to 776 of the family's 1533-position model. The record is from RNAcentral.